UCUAUUCUCGUUACACGACAAUGAGCAAAGAGGGGCAGCUGUAAGGCCCAAUAUUUUCCCAGGCAAUCAAAAUAAAAAAUAAUACAAAAAACAAAACAAAUACCAUAGUUUAUUAAAUAGUCUAUUUACAGACUCGCUCAGCCUAAAUUACCUAGACCCGAAUACCAGCCUGACCCGCUAAACCCAAUGGCCUAAAUCACCUAAGCCCAAAGCCACAAGCGAAACCCUAGCAACUAUGGUGAGCCUCCAGUGCCGCAACAGAGCCAGC
This 268-nucleotide long non-coding RNA is filed under the name Gossypium raimondii (Peruvian cotton). RNAcentral's name for it is "long non-coding RNA (GRAI_LNC004013)". Lineage: Eukaryota; Viridiplantae; Streptophyta; Magnoliopsida; Malvales; Malvaceae. The record is from RNAcentral.